GUGAAUCAUCAAAUUUUUGAACGCAAAUUGCACUCUCUUCGGAGAGUAUGCCUGUUUGAGGGUCAGCCUAAAAAAAUCGACAUAGUCGCUGUUUCGCGGUGACAUUCGUCGGAAAUUGGGUCAUCUUAAACUUUUGGUUUUAAGCCGCCUAAAAUUUUUCUUACCAAUUCACCAACGUUUUCAAAGUUUAACUACACGGUUAA
Molecule: unclassified non-coding RNA, 203 nt
Filed under: Glomus sp.
Lineage: Eukaryota; Fungi; Glomeromycota; Glomeromycetes; Glomerales; Glomeraceae
Description: partial contains 5.8S ribosomal RNA and internal transcribed spacer 2
Rfam family: 5.8S ribosomal RNA (bases 1-65)
Source: RNAcentral